AAGUCUUCCUUUAUACCAAUAAGUUCAUUUUCUAUUCCUUGUAUUACUCGAUACUGACAGUAUGUCAUACUGCCACAAAACAUUUUGCAUUUGUAAAUAUUUAUAUUAACUAAUAAGCAAUACUUGUAUGUAAAGUCAUCCUAAUAAAGUAAUUUGUUACUGUUGCUGUUACUGUUUCCUAUAGAAAUAAAAAUUGGGAAUUGAAAUUGAGGGACGGGAAUGAUACAGAUAGCAAAUUUUGGAACCAGGGCAGUGGUACGAUACAAAGCCAACCAAGGGGGAAGACCCUGCAAAUGAGGCUACAUUCCGCUAUCAAAGUUCUUUCAUAAAUUAUUUUGGGGGCACCCCCUACACCUGGUGUCUGUCCCUGACCAAAAUUGGCUACUUAUUCAUGCAGUUACUCUCUCUUUCUAUUCUUUUUCUUUCUUUCCUUUCUUUCCCCCUUUUUCUUCCCUCCUUUUUUCUUUCUGCCUGCAUAAAAAAUUUUCUGGGACCAAUGGUCCUGUUGUCCACUAUAUUUUCCACCCCUGGCAUUUGUGGUUGAAUUUUACCUUAAAUUGAAGCUUAUAUUACGUAUAACAACAACCCUAACAUAUAUAUGUUUGGGAAAUUGGUAAUUUUGUAAUUAAAAGUGAUAUUUUUAGCGGAUUGUCCAUUUGUAAAAAUAUUCAUAAAAAAUUAUCGUGUUAGCAUGGCAACUAAACUACUUUAGACACAGUAGUAACAGUACUUCAUGUUCGGAAAAUACAAUGGUUUUU
Paramuricea clavata is the source of this 758-nucleotide non-coding RNA. NCBI's taxonomy places the organism in Eukaryota, Metazoa, Cnidaria, Anthozoa, Malacalcyonacea, Plexauridae. The record is from the annotation of a GenBank genome assembly.